Molecule: unclassified non-coding RNA, 382 nt
Filed under: uncultured fungus
Lineage: Eukaryota; Fungi
Description: partial contains 5.8S ribosomal RNA and internal transcribed spacer 2
Rfam family: 5.8S ribosomal RNA (bases 1-133)
Source: RNAcentral
UGGCUCUCGCAUCGAUGAAGAACGCAGCGAAAUGCGAUAAGUAAUGUGAAUUGCAGAAUUCAGUGAAUCAUCGAAUCUUUGAACGCACCUUGCACCUCUCGGUAUUCCGAGGGGUAUGCCUGUUCGAGUAUCAUCAUAUCAUCAACCGGCGAGGUCUUUAACUGGACUUUGCCUGGAUUGGAACUUGGAGCGUGCGGGUUGUCUGCUGACGAUCUGCUCCUCUCGAAAUACAUUAGUGACUCGCUUACUGUCUCACUUUGACGUGAUAAUUAUCUACGUCGCCGUGUUGCAUAGUCCGGUGGUCGCUCAUUAACCGUCCUUCGGUGGACAAAAGUAAAAGUACUCAUGAUUCGGUCUCGAAUCAGGCAGGAUUACCCGCUGA